This 459-nucleotide unclassified non-coding RNA is filed under the name Hevea brasiliensis (rubber tree). Lineage: Eukaryota; Viridiplantae; Streptophyta; Magnoliopsida; Malpighiales; Euphorbiaceae. The record is from RNAcentral.
GAAAAAGAAGAGAGAAAAUUCUAGUUCUUUUUAAUGGUUUGGAUAAAACAAAAGUAGUUGAAAAAUAUAGUAUCUUUGGUUGUACUUUGAAGUUUGUUCAAUUCACAAGGGUGAUUGAGCAAUUAUUAAAUAAGUUAAACGAGAGCAAGCAAUGUCUGCAACAGGGAGUUCCAGUUUGCCGGAACCGGAGUCCUACCGGCAUCUCGUCAAGGAGGUGAGAAGUCACGAGGUUGCUAUAGCUGAGCUCAGUAACCUUCCUGAUUCUAGGGCUGUCUACCAGAGAAAUGGCAAUCUAUUCUUCCGUACAACUGCUGAGAAAGCAACAAUGUCAGAACAAAAACAAGUGGACAUGGUCAAAUCUAAGUUACAAAAAUUAAGCUCCUAACGAGUCAACAAGUUCCAUUCAGCUUAAGAGGUUGGAAAGAGAGUGAUUCUUUUGCUUAAUUUCUCUAAAGUAGG